RNAcentral lists this transfer RNA (86 nucleotides) under Candidatus Hydrogenedentota bacterium. RNAcentral describes it as "Candidatus Hydrogenedentes bacterium tRNA-Tyr". It matches the Rfam family "tRNA". Rfam says of the family: Transfer RNA (tRNA) molecules are approximately 80 nucleotides in length. Their secondary structure includes four short double-helical elements and three loops (D, anti-codon, and T loops). RNAcentral also lists the same sequence under 1 other name. The record is from RNAcentral. Lineage: Bacteria; Pseudomonadati; Candidatus Hydrogenedentota.
GGUGGGUUGUCCGAGUGGCUAAAGGAGUCGGGCUGUAAACCCGAUAGCGUACGCUUACGUUGGUUCGAAUCCAACACCCACCACCA